GAUGAAGAACGUAGCGAAAUGCGAUAAGUUGUGUGAAUUGCAGAAUUCAGUGAAUCAUCGAAUCUUUGAACGCACAUUGCGCCCCUUGGUAUCCCGAGGGGCAUGCCUGUUCGAGCGUCAUUUCACCACUCAAGCCUGGCUUGGUGUUGGGCGACGUCCUCUUUGGGGACGCGCCUCGAAACGCUCGGCGGCGUGGCACCGGCUUUAAGCGUAGCAGAAUCUUUCGCUUUGGAAGUCGGGGCCCCGUCUGCCGGAAGACCUGCUCGCAAGGUUGACCUCGGAUCAGGCAGGGAUACCCGCUGAACUUAAGCAUAUCAAUAAGCGGAGGA
This 329-nucleotide unclassified non-coding RNA is filed under the name soil metagenome. RNAcentral's name for it is "partial contains 5.8S ribosomal RNA, internal transcribed spacer 2, and large subunit ribosomal RNA". The stretch from base 1 to 120 matches the Rfam family "5.8S ribosomal RNA", at positions 35 to 154 of the family's 154-position model. The record is from RNAcentral.